AGAACGAACGCUGGCGGCAUGCCUAACACAUGCAAGUCGAACGGAUUGUAGCAAUACAAUCAGUGGCGAACGGGUGAAUAACGCGUGGGAACCUACCUCGGAGUUCGGAAUAACCGCGGGAAACUGCGGCUAAUACCGGAUACGGCCUGAGGGCGAAAGGAGCAAUUCGCUCCGGGAGGGGCCCGCGUCCGAUUAGCUAGUUGGUGGGGUAAUGGCCUACCAAGGCGAUGAUCGGUAGCUGGUCUGAGAGGAUGAUCAGCCACACUGGAACUGAGACACGGUCCAGACUCCUACGGGAGGCAGCAGUGGGGAAUAUUGGACAAUGGGGGCAACCCUGAUCCAGCAAUGCCGCGUGGGUGAGUGAAGGCCUUCGGGUUGUAAAGCCCUUUUGGCGGGGAAGAUAAUGAACGGUCCCGACAGAAGAAGCCCCGGCUAACGUCGUGCCAGCAGCCGC
RNAcentral lists this ribosomal RNA (454 nucleotides) under uncultured soil bacterium. RNAcentral's name for it is "bacterial SSU rRNA". It matches the Rfam family "Bacterial small subunit ribosomal RNA", at positions 26 to 518 of the family's 1533-position model. The record is from RNAcentral.